RNAcentral lists this Y RNA (108 nucleotides) under Macaca nemestrina (pig-tailed macaque). RNAcentral's name for it is "Y RNA (ENSMNEG00000004278.1)". It matches the Rfam family "Y RNA". From Rfam's summary of the family: Y RNAs are components of the Ro ribonucleoprotein particle (Ro RNP), in association with Ro60 and La proteins. The Y RNAs and Ro60 and La proteins are well conserved, but the function of the Ro RNP is not known. The record is from Rfam by way of RNAcentral. Lineage: Eukaryota; Metazoa; Chordata; Mammalia; Primates; Cercopithecidae.
GGCUGGUGCCAAGGGAGUGAGUUGUCUGUUGCUUGUUGAGUCCGUUACAGAUCGAACUCCUUGUUCCACUCUUUCCCCCUUCUCACUACUACACUUGACUAGUCUUAA